AGGCAACAGAAGUAUUAUGUAAGUUUAGAGGGGGACCCGGGAGUGGUCUUAGCGUUACUUGUACAAGGAAAAAUUCUUGUUGCUGUUCUUUUGAGUUUUGUUGUAUUUUUGUAAAUAAGAAAUAUGACUACAUUCUGUAAAAUAACCUUUCAGUUAUGAUUAUUUGCUGCAGAAGUCAUUUAAUUUUUUUUUAAUGUAGGCAUUCUCAAAAUUGGCAUCUGUGGACCAUUUAACCCACAGCGAAUUUUACAGUUUUAGCCCUGGUGAGAAAGAUUGGUUACCAUGUUAUCCAGAUGACAUGCCUGGUUGAUCACUUGAUUAAAUAAAAAGUUGAGUGUGUUAAACAAAUGAUUUCAUUUGCAGCCAGCCAGUGAGGGAGGUUCUUUGACAAGUAGACGUUCUUUAAGGAUUUUCCAACAACUCUUGGAUUGGACUGCUUCAGGUUCAGGAGAAGACAACUCUAAUGACCUUGAAAUUAACAGUAUUGCACUUAAUCCAAACACACCCACUCGAAUUCCAAGUCUACUAUCACAAUUCAGGUCUCCUGUGAUAUCGGAUGACUCCCCGGUUAAACCAGUCAAACAGAAGGGACUGAAGAACUCAAACAACUUAAAGCGGCAGCUAAAACAGGUGGUGCUUCCAUGUGGAGAGAAGCUUGGACAGAGAGAUUUUGAUGCUGUGGUUGUUAUUCCUAGUAAAACCCUGGUAUCCGCAUCAGAAGACACACAACAACGUCUGAAGGGUAUCUCAAUUUCUAGUUAUGUGAGUCGGGAUAAAGAGAAUGUGUUUCAUCAGGAAAGUGAAGGCCAGAAACCAAGUAAAAAAGCAAAACUUAGUACAGGUUCUCCCAAGAUGGCUGUUAGCGUUGAGAACAAGAAAAUACACAAAACACAACCGACCAAGAAGAAAGCUCCUGCAAAAAGCUGUCGUCGACGGUUACUUCCACAAGUUGAGGGACAGAAACAGAUCACUAGUUUUUUUAGAAUUUGAUUUUAUAUAUUUAUUUUAAAUUUGGGAACAUAAAUUUAAAUUCUUCUGAAUUAGUUUUGUUUUAACAGUAUUUAAAAAGAAUACACUUGUUAUUAGUAAAACAAAAUGGUAAAACAUCAAAUGUGAUCAUUGUGAAGAUAUUUCAGAAAGUCUUAAACAUGGACAGAAUAUGUCUGCACAUGACUCAACAUCUGCAUUGCAUAUUAAAUAUACAUAGCUUUAAGAAAAGUUCACAUGACUAAAGGAUUACUACAUUUUGUAUAUUCAGCCAUGAAUGUAAAAUAUUGUAGAAUAUUUAGAGAUAAAAUGUUCCCAAGACAUGGUUUGACAAGUGCUUAAAUUUUAUUUUCAUCAUGGAAAGUACUUAAAACUACUGGAAAAAAGAAUUUACCCCCAGGAAAGUCCUGGAAUUUUAUUAUUUUUUAUAUAUAUAUAUUUUUCAUUUAAUAAUAAUUAUUUGGAAAAUAUAUUUAUAAAUAAAUGCGUUUGACAUCUGGUUCCAAUCUAUAUCCUUUACAGAACAGUAAUUAUAAAAGGUCAACAACCAUUGGUCGACUGUUAAAAUAUAUACACAGUAAGAAGGCGUGGACAUAAAUGAACACAACUUGUGAUUGGUUGAAUAAAUUAUGUAACUGUCAGCAGUCUUGUUUCUGACGUUUUGAGUUCGAAACUACUGUCAAAGAUAAAUAAUUUAGUAGACGGCUGUAACCAGCACCUUCCAACAAAACAAACACUCUACGGCUUAUGUCUGCAAAGCUUCUGUGAAGUGAGACUCCUGCAAAAGUUGAGAACUUGUAGUUAACACAUAUUCUUUUGAUCUCCAUUGAAGUCUUAGACGACUCAGUACACACCAAAACGGUAUCCACAUGUCAAGGCAUGUCAACAAAGCGACCAAUUAACUAAGUAAACAAUUAUGGAUUAGUUUUGAUUGUUUGUGAUAUAAAUUGGAGUCCACUUCAAGAGAUUAUUUUUGUGCUAUCAAUAAAUAAUGUGAUUGACAUUUAGUUACUCAUAGAAACGGGUAUAAUUCUGGUAAAUUUUGUAUUUGAAACACUAUGUCACUAAUGAGUUUAAAAUAAUUAUUAAUAAAAAUAAAACAUGUUUAUAUGAUUUAUGUAAUUUUGUCAUUAGGUACUUUUUAAAAACCACAAAUAAAUAAUGAUUUAAAGUACAUGUACAUGUACUCUAAAAGCACUUACCUAUAAACGUAAUACCGUAAAUGUAUUAAUUAAUGUUUUGACGUUUUGUGACUUACAAUCUUUUGUAAAAUCUUCUUUUUUUUAAAUCUUUUUUUUAUUUAUUUUUAUUUUUAUGUGGAAAUAAUAGAUCUGGAUAAUACUGGUAUUUAAACUUUACUAUCUUUUUUUUGCUUCAUAGUUUGGGGUAGAAGUGAUUUUUUUUUAACUUUAACAAAUCUGGAUAAUAUAAAUUAAAUUUAAAAUUUUAUUUAUUUAUUUAUUUUUAUGUAACAACACCCCAGUACAUUGUUUAUUUAUUGAUUAUUUAUUUGUAAAGGAAUUACAAGUCUUUAAUGGAUUAUUAUUCUAUCAAGAUUUUAGAUCUCAUUAAUUUGGGCACAACUGUUUUUUUGUUUGUUCUGAGCACUCUUAGAUCUUGUUAAUAUAGUAAUGUUAUUAACAGCUGGUAAAGAUGUUGCUGAUAUGCAUUUCAGGUUAUAUCAGUCAGAUUAAGUUUAUUAUUGUUGUGGUAUUGAAGUAAUAUAUUUUUGAGGUUAGCAUAUAACAUUGUUUAUACUCAGUUUGGGCUGGCUUGUUUUGGGUAUAUAUAUUUUUGAGGUUAGCAUAUAACAUUGUUUAUACUCAGUUUGGGCUGGCUUGUUUUGGGUAUAUAUAUUUUGGGCACAAUGUUUAUCGCAUCGACUUUGGUGCAAUCAAAAAGCCCCAUCUAUAUAAAGUUAUAUAAUUCUGAAUCUUGACCAAAAGUAAAUGGAUCUUGACCAAAAAUAAUUGAAUGCCUCAAAACAAUUUCCUCAAUGUGUUUAGAUAUGUAUUAUGGCUGUUGAGUGUUUUGCUGUAAGAUCCAGCAUUGAGACAUAGAUGCAUGCACACAUCAAAACAAAAUCUGCACACUACAAUAUUUUUUAAUUUAUGUAUUUUUACAACUUUAGCAUCCAUGAGAUAUAUCUAGAUUAGGUGUAGCUUAUGUUUGAGACAUAACAACCACUGAAUAAACAGGGUCUACUGGGGUGUCGUUACAAAAAGUCCUUUCCAGGUAAUGUAUUCAGACUCCUGGAAAAAAUUAAAAAGAUCCUGGAAAAUGAACCAAAAUGGUGCUUAAAGGUCCUGGAAAAUGAAAAUGUUUUAAGUGUAUGAACCCUUGUUUGAAGUCUGUAUACUAGAACAACCUAUUACGCCUUACCUUGGUCUGUUGUGACAUAUUUGUUUCAAUGAUGUUGAUCUCAAAUGCCAGUUCCUGAUGUUGGGUGAAUUAUCUUGCGUUAUCAUGUCUGUAUAAUAUGAAGAAUUUUAUUUUAUUAUGUUCAGUAUUUAGUAUGUUAUAUUUGACUGGAUUGUGCAAUAUUAAUUUAUGUAAAAUGUUUUUUUAAUGUAAUUUAUGUAAAACUUAUAUUUAUUGAUGUUUAUCUUUAACACUUUUGUUACAUCUGUUACCUCCUUAAAAAUUGUUUUGCUUUUUUAGAAGUUUAAACCAAUUGUAAUUCAACCUUCUUGAUUUUCCAUUUCUUUUUCCAUCUCUAUUUGGAUUUAUUUUUGUUGCAACUUAAAAAUGGCUGGGAAUAAUAGGUUAUUGUAGGUAGCAAUUUAGCAAUAAAUUGUGAAUAUUUGUGGUUAUUAAAUAUUAAUUUAUUUGAUGAGACUAAAUUGAUGUUGUUUUUAAAAUGUAUAAAUGAAUUCAAAUAUGUCAGUAGUAUUUUAAAAAAUUUAAAAUUGUAUAUCCAGGUGCUU
This 3914-nucleotide long non-coding RNA is filed under the name Gigantopelta aegis. RNAcentral's name for it is "uncharacterized LOC121373927". The record is from RNAcentral. Lineage: Eukaryota; Metazoa; Mollusca; Gastropoda; Neomphalida; Peltospiridae.